ACAUAGGGUGCAAGCGUUGUCCGGAAUUAUUGGGCGUAAAGAGCUCGUAGGUGGUUCGUCACGUCGGAUGUGAAACUCUGGGGCUUAACCCCAGACCUGCAUUCGAUACGGGCGAGCUUGAGUAUGGUAGGGGAGUCUGGAAUUCCUGGUGUAGCGGUGGAAUGCGCAGAUAUCAGGAGGAACACCAAUGGCGAAGGCAGGACUCUGGGCCAUUACUGACACUGAGGAGCGAAAGCGUGGGGAGCGAACAGGAUUAGAUACCCUGGUAGUCCACGCCGUAAACGGUGGGUGCUAGUUGUGGGUCACAUUCCACGUGAUCCGUGACGAAGUUAACACAUUAAGCACCCCGCCUGGGGAGUACGGUCGCAAGACUA
Molecule: ribosomal RNA, 374 nt
Filed under: uncultured bacterium
Lineage: Bacteria
Description: bacterial SSU rRNA
Rfam family: Bacterial small subunit ribosomal RNA
Source: RNAcentral